This 590-nucleotide long non-coding RNA is filed under the name Medicago truncatula (barrel medic). RNAcentral's name for it is "lncRNA gene19237". The record is from RNAcentral. Lineage: Eukaryota; Viridiplantae; Streptophyta; Magnoliopsida; Fabales; Fabaceae.
CCUCUUCCUUCUCUCCAAAAACGCCACCAACAACAAUAUUUUCAACCACCCAAAAAUCAAGUGAAAAACUUGUCUUAUGUUUUUCUCUUCACGCAUUCGGUGCUCCGUCAUCGUCGUCUUCGCCGACCUUUCAAUUUGAUUCAAAUCUUUCCUUUCUCAAGCACAAUCAAUGGCCCCUCCUCUUCUGAUGCAAAACGUGGGUGGGACUUAUGAACAAGGUCAGGACAGAAGAUCGCGAGGAAGACGCUGGUACAAAGCUGAUGAAUUAAUACAGUCAUGAUCGGAGAUCGUGAGAAAAACGGUUGCCGCCGGUUGAGUGGGUUGUGAGGAGGUGGAGGAGAGAACACGACGGGGAGGGAGGAAGAGAGAGGCUUUCACGGUUCUUUCUUUUUUUCCUGUUUUUUUUUUUGUUUGUUUAACAGUUCAUUGUUCACAUACCAAAAAAAUACCACGUGUCGCACAUUGGUGUGGGUGUAGAAAAAGUGUGUACAAAUGAAGUGUGUCGAUGUAUCAGUACUUAAAGAAUUUCUUUUUCGGACACAGUAUAUGUCUUAAGAUAAGCUCAUAUAUAUAUGAUGACUAGUUUUAAC